UACGAAGGGGGCUAGCGUUGCUCGGAAUCACUGGGCGUAAAGCGCACGUAGGCGGAUUGUUAAGUCGGGGGUGAAAUCCUGGAGCUCAACUCCAGAACUGCCUUCGAUACUGGCGAUCUUGAGUCCGGGAGAGGUGAGUGGAACUCCGAGUGUAGAGGUGAAAUUCGUAGAUAUUCGGAAGAACACCAGUGGCGAAGGCGGCUCACUGGCCCGGUACUGACGCUGAGGUGCGAAAGCCAGGGGAGCAAACGGG
This 253-nucleotide ribosomal RNA is filed under the name uncultured bacterium. Its description in RNAcentral is "partial 16S ribosomal RNA". It matches the Rfam family "Bacterial small subunit ribosomal RNA", at positions 524 to 776 of the family's 1533-position model. The record is from RNAcentral.